AUUGAACGCUGGCGGCAUGCCUUACACAUGCAAGUCGAACGGUAACGGGCCUUCGGGUGCCGACGAGUGGCGAACGGGUGAGUAAUACAUCGGAACGUGCCCGAUCGUGGGGGAUAACGAGGCGAAAGCUUUGCUAAUACCGCAUACGAUCUACGGAUGAAAGCAGGGGACCGCAAGGCCUUGCGCGGACGGAGCGGCCGAUGGCAGAUUAGGUAGUUGGUGGGAUAAAAGCUUACCAAGCCGACGAUCUGUAGCUGGUCUGAGAGGAUGAUCAGCCACACUGGGACUGAGACACGGCCCAGACGCCUACGGGAGGCAGCAGUGGGGAAUUUUGGACAAUGGGCGCAAGCCUGAUCCAGCCAUGCCGCGUGCAGGAUGAAGGCCUUCGGGUUGUAAACUGCUUUUGUACGGAACGAAAAGCCUUCUUUUAAUACAGGAGGGUCAGGAAGGUACCGUAAGAAUAAGCACCGGCUAACUACGG
RNAcentral lists this ribosomal RNA (481 nucleotides) under uncultured bacterium. RNAcentral describes it as "partial 16S ribosomal RNA". It matches the Rfam family "Bacterial small subunit ribosomal RNA", at positions 30 to 506 of the family's 1533-position model. The record is from RNAcentral.